This 343-nucleotide ribosomal RNA is filed under the name Cortinarius vanduzerensis. RNAcentral's name for it is "LSU rRNA". It matches the Rfam family "Bacterial large subunit ribosomal RNA", at positions 1754 to 2090 of the family's 2925-position model. Lineage: Eukaryota; Fungi; Basidiomycota; Agaricomycetes; Agaricales; Cortinariaceae. The record is from RNAcentral.
AAAAUGUUAAGGAUCUUUAACAUUUUAGGUGGCACAGAAUCGGAGGCCCCGACUGUUUACUAAAAACACAACACAGUGCAAUCAUUAAUAUGGUAGUAUACUGUGUGAAAUUUGCCCAAUGCCAUUAAUAUAAGAGAAGUUAUGGUCUCAAAAACUGUGACUAAUCGAAAAUCUGGUUAAUAGCGGUCUUAACUAUGAGGAUCCUAAGGUAGCAAAAUCAGUUGGCCAUUAAAUGUGGUCCGGUAUCAAUAAUGUAACGAUGGUCUCACUGUCUCUACAACUUGCUCAGUGAAAUUGAAUUACGCGUGCAGAUGCGCGUUGCCUUCAGAGGGACGGGAAGACC